This 549-nucleotide ribosomal RNA is filed under the name Zelopaecilomyces penicillatus. RNAcentral's name for it is "eukaryotic LSU rRNA". The stretch from base 182 to 334 matches the Rfam family "5.8S ribosomal RNA". Lineage: Eukaryota; Fungi; Ascomycota; Sordariomycetes; Hypocreales; Pseudodiploosporaceae. The record is from RNAcentral.
CAUUACCGAGUGAGGGCCCUCUGGGUCCAACCUCCCACCCGUGUUUAUUUUACCUUGUUGCUUCGGCGGGCCCGCCUUAACUGGCCGCCGGGGGGCUUACGCCCCCGGGCCCGCGCCCGCCGAAGACACCCUCGAACUCUGUCUGAAGAUUGUAGUCUGAGUGAAAAUAUAAAUUAUUUAAAACUUUCAACAACGGAUCUCUUGGUUCCGGCAUCGAUGAAGAACGCAGCGAAAUGCGAUACGUAAUGUGAAUUGCAAAUUCAGUGAAUCAUCGAGUCUUUGAACGCACAUUGCGCCCCCUGGUAUUCCGGGGGGCAUGCCUGUCCGAGCGUCAUUGCUGCCCUCAAGCACGGCUUGUGUGUUGGGCCCCGUCCUCCGAUCCCGGGGGACGGGCCCGAAAGGCAGCGGCGGCACCGCGUCCGGUCCUCGAGCGUAUGGGGCUUUGUCACCCGCUCUGUAGGCCCGGCCGGCGCUUGCCGAUCAACCCAAAUUUUUAUCCAGGUUGACCUCGGAUCAGGUAGGGAUACCCGCUGAACUUAAGCAUAUCAA